Bubalus bubalis (water buffalo) is the source of this 412-nucleotide long non-coding RNA. RefSeq lists it as uncharacterized. NCBI's taxonomy places the organism in Eukaryota, Metazoa, Chordata, Mammalia, Artiodactyla, Bovidae. The transcript has 3 exons. The record is from RefSeq and is a predicted model, not a curated record.
GGAAAAGAGUGAUUGCUUUCCACUUGACAAAUGAGUUUAAACUGAGACCCAGAGAGGCCAAGCGUUACCCACAGCUGGUCUCUACAUGCUUUACUUCAUUUUGUCCUCACCUGAGGUGCUUGGUUCCACGCCCCACCACUUUGAAGAAGAGGAAACCGAGGCCCAGGGAAAAGAAAAAGGGACUUUCCCAAGAUCACACAGGCAGGAUGCAGAAAAGUUGGCAUUCCUGUGCUGAUUCCGAGAUGGAUUCCUUUCCUGGGCCGAGCAUCCUCCAGAUUGUAGCAGAAGCCAAAAAGAGGCCCUCAAGUUUCAAAGACCCUGAGAUAAGCCCAGACCAAGAGAAUGCAUGAGAGAAGAGCCAGAAGAAGGUCACGGUCACAGAAGGUAGCAAGUAUUCUUGACUGGAAUGAGA